AUACGUAGGUGACAAGCGUUAUCCGGAUUUACUGGGCGUAAAGGGCGUGUAGGCGGUCUUGCAAGUCAGAAGUGAAAUUCCUGAGCUCAGCUCGGGCGCUGCUUCUGAAACUGCAGGACUUGAGUGCUGGAGGGGAUAGCGGAAUUCCUAGUGGAGCGGUAAAAUGCGCAGAUAUUAGGAAGAACACCGGUGGCGAAGGCGGCUAUCUGGGCUGAAACUGACGCUGAGGCGCGAAAACGGGGGGAGCAAGCAGGAUAAAAUACCCGCGUAGUCCACGCCGUAAACGAUGAAUACUAGGUGUAGGGGGUAUCGACUCCCUCUGUGCCGCAGUUAACACAAUAAGUAUUCCGCCUGGGGAGUACGGCCGCAAGGUUGAAACUCAAAGGAAUUGACGGGG
This 397-nucleotide ribosomal RNA is filed under the name uncultured bacterium. RNAcentral describes it as "partial 16S ribosomal RNA". It matches the Rfam family "Bacterial small subunit ribosomal RNA", at positions 523 to 918 of the family's 1533-position model. The record is from RNAcentral.